UGAUCGGCAGACAGCAUCUGGGGGAUGUUAUUUGGUGCAGCAUUAUCUUUUUGAUAGCAGGUAGCUCAAAGCUGACGCAAGAAAAAAAAGAACUAUAGGCAUAUGUUAUUUGGUAUUGCACCUAUAAUGAAAGAUUGCUUUUGGAAAAGGUGUCUGCAGAAGAUUACAUGUGAUGUUUAUGAAAAAAUGUCUGAUAAGGAAACAAAACAUGAAACCAACACUGAAAUUGAAGAAACGUUUGAUUGAGACUUCAGCAGGUAGGUCUCUUUGAUGAUGACAAGGAAGCUUGGCUUUUCCCUCUUAGCUCCCUUUGUCCUCUAUCCGGCUCUGAAGGCUCUUGUCUUCAGCCUUCAGCUUUGUCUCAAGCGGGCACCUGGUAGUUGUGGAAGCUCCUCUCUAUCUCGUCUGGUGUCUGUGGAGGCAGCACGGGCAUUGAGUUUCCUGAUACUUGAUUGAUAGGUGCCACAUAAUGGAAACAAUUUUACUUCAGCGCUGUGAGCAGAGUCCUUCGUUCAAUUUUCUCCCUUGACAUGACCCUGCCUAUUUUGUCCUUCACCUACGGCUGAUGCAGGAUAGCCUUUUAGCAUUCACCGCUCACAGCCCUGACCUCCUCUCAGCCGUUGAUAUCACUUCCCGAGCACCACCACCUCACUCUAAAGCCUUUUGCCUUUUAAGAGAAGCCUCAUUUGCCUCCCAUGUGCCCCUCUGGGUCCAGGGAACUCACCAUGGGGAUGCCUGGGUUGGUCGCCCCCAGGGGGGCCCAGGAGAGCUAGCGUCUUCCUACAUGGCUCAUUGUGGUUACAGACUGGGUUAAACUCCAAUCUGAGUCUUGUCCAGAGUUGGGUUUCAGGUGUAGUCUGGGCACAAAGUUAAUUUUGACAUCACUGUAUAGAUUUCUAAAACUUUUUUCAUAGGGUAUAAGUACUGUAAAAAUGGAUAAAUAAAAAGGUAUUUUAAUUAGAGAUUAAUAAUAUUAGGGUAAUAUUACAGUUGGUUGCAGUUUAUAUAAAUUAGUUUGUGUGAUAUGUACUUCAGCACGUGUGUUAUCCCUGACAGUCUAACGUCGUAGUGGUAAAAUGUCAAUCUUUGAUUUGUCUUUGUUAAUUGGUUUGUACUGACACUAACAGCCAAUCCAACUCCGUUCUUGGGUAGAUGGGUGGGGCUUAGGCGGCCAUCAAGUUUUAGGCCUCUACGCUCCAAAGCUAUGACUCUCGUUUGUCACGUGUGUGCGAAACUGGGCGGCAUAUUAUAUUGAUGUUCACGUGUAAUAAAUGUCAAACUGUUUUUGUUAAAUGCUUUUGAAGUCUGUUUGCUCAGUUGAAGUCCAGUACAAAAAUGUUCUGGCAAGAGCUGGUUAAAAGUGGUAACAAACAAAAAAUAUGAGACAACGGACUUAAUAAGAGGCAUCAACCUUUUGUUUUAUUCAUCAAAUUUGAUUGUAGGCACCACCAUUUAUAUGAGUUUUCAAAAUAAGGGAACAACAAUUAUAAGACAAAUAGUAUUAAGGUAUAAGAACAGGUAAUGAUAGGGCCAUUAUAUUCAAAACUGAACCCAGGGCUCCGCCCAUAGUACUACUACACCUAGCAGAUUAUCUUAUUGUUAUACAGCCACAUGGGACGGAUGUUACACAAACAUGAGAAAAUAUUUGUUCCAUUGAGUGCAACUCUGUCAUACAGACAACAAGUUGCCAUUAAAGGAAUUGCCAUGGUCAGAUGUGACAAUGGUACUUGGUGUUUGGCAGUAGCAUUGAAACAGCAGUCCAUUUUUGUCCUGACAAACAGAGUGCGUCAUUGAGGUAUUAAAAAGUCAACAAUUUUGGAACAAAACUAACCUCAUCGUCCAAGAAAUGAGACCUUUGGGGAAACCAUGUGCGUUCCCUUCUGGCAUAUCCAACAUUUCUCUGCAUCAAACGACACACACACAGACACACACACAUACAACAUGGAUGAAGCGUGACAGCGGUCCGUGAGUGAGGAGUUAGCAGGUGGGGUCACCACCCUCCCCCUCUUUAGAGCUGACACACAGAAAGAAGAAACACUUAGGCCCAACACACACAGACUCCUGCACAUGCAUUCAUGCUCACUGAGACUCCUUGAUACCCAAUGGGGAGAUGAGCGUUCAAGCCUCCGUUAAAGCCCCAGCUGUCCCCUGCAGCCCCCCAUUCUUUCUCCCUCCUCAUCUCUUCAUGCACUCUGUAUCUCCACCCCCCUCUCUCUCUCUCUCUCUCUCUCACUCACACAAACACAUGCAUCUGUGUGCAAACACAUACUCGACAAUGCCCACACACUUGGCUUAGCAUCUGUGCAGGCAUCGUAGCCUCUAGUAUACACAGUCUUUGAGCUAAAGCGCCGUAUAAGCUUCUCCGUCUGUUUUUCCAGCCGCUCAAUGUGCAUGUGCGCCCUUAAUCUACUCACUGCGAUACUGGCUACAACAUUCGGAGGGGUAAAGGUUGGCCUCAGGGCGGCUUUCUCGGCUUUGUUUGAUCCACGCAGAUUGGCUUCCGUUGGCAACAGAGUGUGCGUGUUUCUGCACUUCCGCAUGUACCGUACAUGUGCUCGCUCUUGUAUGUUUAUACAUGUUUACGGUUAUCUCCCUGGUGUUAUUGACUUCGAUGGACAUGUAUUGAGGAUAUAUGAGUGUGUUUCUGCGUACCGUUUUCCUUCCAAAAAUCUCCUCCACAGGCCACGUAGCACCUGUGGUUGAGUGGAACGAGGUGCAAGAGAGAAAGACGAGCAGGUGAUGCAGGUGUUGACUGCCUCAUCACAUCAAACUAGUGGGGUUAAAUCUGAAAUGAUGUCAAAGAAAACUCUGCAGAAUAGUAUUUAUUCCUCCACACCAACAAUGGUGUUUCCAUCGGUCUCGAUUAAGAAAUACUACUUUUGAGCCUUGCAGACUUUCUCAUACUUGAUCUCAUACAUGAUCAAACUUCUAGCUCGUUCAGCAUUCUGACAGAAAGAACAAAAACACGAUGUAUUAAAACACAGUUACACCAGUUACCCAUUCUGGACACAAGUCAUUUGUUCAGAUUAAGCUGGUUAGGUGUGGACGUGAUUCAUGUGAAGGAGGAUAAUGAACAUCAAGAUUUGAUUUAGUUGCUAAAACUCUUGUUUUUAUUGUUACUUGGGAUCAUAGCUCACUAAUAUAUUCUUCCUGAGGAAUGGAUGUAAUCAACACAAAUUGUCAAAUGGUGCAAAUGGGCAGGUGCCUUCAUUUUUCCGAUUGGCCUUUGGGUGCAAACGCUGCAAGCAAGAAACUCGUGUUUCUGUACCAGGAAUCCCUGUGAGGAGAGGGAGGUGGGAGGUGGGAGGAGAGGGAGGAGUGGGAGGAUCAAGUGGCCGCAUUUUGUCCUUUUCCUCCUCAGCAGGUGAUGCUCAUGUGUUCAGCUCGGAGCAAUUAACCCCGAAGUGUGUAAAUGGAUUAACAUAGAUGUGGGAGGGAUUUCUUUCUGCCAAGCAGGGUGGGUUUUAUUUUCUUUCUUUUUUUACUUUUAAGCCUCUUUCUUAUCAUUAUUUUGUUUGCCUGGGGCUGUGGGGGUCUCCGAAGGAGUUUCUAAAGAGCAAUGAUGACUGGAGGGAAAAGGAAGUUGCACUUAUGGUUAGAAUCCUCCUGAGAUCCAACUAUUCUAAAGUGGUAGAAAAUGGUUGCUUAAUGAUAUAGAUUUUAAUUAGGGCUGUCAAUAGAUUUUUUUUAAAUUGACUAAUUAAUCGCACCUUUUGAAAUUCAUUCAUCUCUAUUAAUGGCGAUUAAAGAAUGUUUUUUUUUUCUGAAGACUAAAUCUUAAAAGAAAUGAGUGAUCACUUUAGAAAGCGUGUAUUUUUGACACUGUUCUUUAAUUGUUAAUCUUAUUUUAAACACAAAACUACACACAUUUGAUCAUCUUGGAGGCAGAAUUCCACCGGGUGGAACAUGUUCAACUCUCCAUAAUUUGACGGCUGUGUUUGAAGUGCCAAUAAUCUCCCCACAUUUGGCAACAACGUUUUCAAACGUCUUUUAGGGACACCGUGGUGGUCCUCUGCAGACAUCUUGAUGUAACUGACUGCAGCCAUAGAUAUCUAAAGGUUAGAUGUCUCGUCCGCGUUGCCGGCCAACGGAGUCGAACAUCCGCACAUGGCGGCCAUCUUGCCAGUCAGCUCGUCACCCAUAACAUUGUGUUAGUGGUUCAUUUACUUUUAAAUAACCAUAACCCAAUUUUCAACCGUUUUAAACGGUUUGGUUUGUUAUAAACGUCAGAGAUGUAGUUAUGACACUGCAUACUAUGAAUAAUUAUGUUGUUCUAAAAAAUAGAAUAAUUUUCCAAAAUAGGGUACAAGAUUUCCCUACACAAUUUCUCUUUUACAAAUAUACAUCAAGAAAUGCUGCAUGUUGUUGAAAUCCCCACUCUGUACAGAGAUGUAUUUAUGACUCUGCAAACUUAUGAAUAAUUAGAAUUAUAACCAUGGGUUUUCAUAAGGAAAUAACAUUAAACAGAACAGAUAUGUGCAAUAAAUACACACAUGCACGAGGGAUGUUAUUUAUGUUGACUCAAUAUAUAGGCUACUAAAACUCAGCAUACAGAAUGGCAACAUGAGAUAUAUGUAUACUUUUAUAAUAGAAAUAUUACUAAUAUAAUAGAAUACGUUUGUAUGCACAGUAUGGUUUAAGUACAAACAACUUUUUGUUUGGUUUUACAGGACUGAUCUUUGCACCACACUGUUGGUUCCCUCAACUUACUGGUUUUGUCACACUCACCUGCCAGCUUGAUCUUCCACACCUGCCCCGCAUCCACAAUCAGUCACUCUCCUGCCUUCCACACCUGCUUCGCAUUCACAAUCAGCCCCGCUACAUAAGCACUGCACACCCAGCCUGUCAUUGCCAGAUUGUUCUUCGCGUCAUGCAAGUCUCUCCAGCACUCUACCUUGGACUGAUCUCCUGGUUUCGACCCUGCCUGUUCCCGACCCGUUCGCCUGUCUCCGCCCCGGUGAGCACGUCAGCCUUCUGUCCCCGACCACGAGUCCUGCCUGAGCGCCUCGGGUUUCUGUUGCCUGCUCCUUGGACUGCCCGGCGCCUCUGCCCCUGUGCUCCGGAUCCCCGACCGGCCCAGCGAUCGCACCAGCUGCCUCCCGGCAUCUCCUCCCCGAUCCUGAGCACCGCACUCUGCUCUGCCUCUCAUUGUGCCCCAACGCCUGCUGUGAGGCCGUGUUCAAUAAAAGCGUUAACUAAACACUCCGUGCCGUUGUGCUGCAUUUGGCUCCGCCACACGCCCGUGUCAGGUUUACACCUCCCGUUACUUUCUAUUCUUAUUUAUUGUUGUUGUGAUUCCUUAUUUUUAUUGAUUUCACUGUUUGGGUCAUUUUUUAUCUCUGUCCUCCAUGUGUAUACCUCCACAGUAGUCUACCUCUCUCUUGAGGGCGGGAAUUUUCAACAUGCAGCAUUUCUUGAUGUAUAUUUGUGGGAAAGGGAAAUUGUAUUACUGCAAAUAAAUGUCACUUUUAUAAAAAAUAUUACCAAUAUAAUUUAUUUGAAUUAUUACACAAACUACUGUAUCAAUUUGAUUGAUUAUGCAAUCACAAAAGCAAAAACUAAAUUUCAUCAGUCUAAGCUGUUUGGAUCACGCUCCCCUGACAGACUUGUAACGUCGCCAUAAACAUCUUGAACUGUAAAUGGCACAGAGCUGUUGGGGGAGCCUGAGCCGCCUCAGUGGAUCUCCUUUUGCUUACAUAGAUGAGCAACCCCUGACACGCCACAUCUUACCAUGCAUAAUUCAUGGAUGCAGGAUCAACCACUGAUCUCUGAAGAUGGUAUGGGUCAAAUUUGUGUUUAAGUAGCAAACUUUUGAUUCUGUCUCAGUGGAGAACAUUGGGAAAAGAAUAUGCGAUGCUUUGAAGCACUUUGAGAGGAGAGGAGAUCCACAGAGAGCUCAGUGAGAAAAGGGCCUGAACGGUGGGAGGACUGAGAGAACAAGAAAGGUUUCAUUAACACUGCUGAACACCAAACCCGUGCUCAUGUUUAUAUUUUUCGACAACAUUGCGGUUGCAUCAUUUUCUGUCUUGUUGAUAUCUUAGCCUGUCAAGUGCUGCAGGAAGGAGUCAGAAAGCCAUAGACAGCAUGUGUCUUCCAGAAGUCAAUGGGUUUCCCGAAUGGGGUUUUUGGUUAAAUACCUAAAACAAAGUCUGGGUGGAGCACAAGCUCAAGUAAUUUGCAUUUGUUAAUAAAAAUAUCAGAUAAUACCCCUUUGUCAAAUCUUUGUGCUUUUAUGUGUUUUAAAAAAAGAUGAGACAACAAAAAGCCACUAUACCAUCCUGGUUUCCUCACGCACAUGUGACCGUGUUUACAAUAUAAACACCCGCUUUCAAAUGGGUUACUUUAAACAUUUAUCUAAAGAAGGUUGCUAAACCAGCUGCUGUGGAAGCCAAAUAUAUAAAGAAAACCUAGUCAUUAAAUGUAUUCACUCACUAUGCUCUCUUUCUCCUUCUCUCUCCCGCUGACACACACACACACAAGGUCCAGAGUGCACAUUCUGCACAUAUUCUAAGGAACACCCAUCCCAUAAGUCAGCCUGCAUGAGCUUUUGGGAACUAAAAUGUAAAUAACAACAGACAGGAGAGUAGUUCCUGCUAAGAAAGAGACUGUGACUAAAUUAGUGCAGUCUGCGUGGUACAUCUCAACUGUCAUGUUUGAGGCGUUUAUGUAAAGAACACAUACACUUUCUAACACACACACAUGCACAUAGUACAUAUAUACCUUUGGUCUUGAUCAUUUUGCGUCAACUUCCACUGCAUUAUUUAUGUUGAAGGGAGCAUAUCCUGAGGAGACGUUGUCCUCCACCGACCCCAGAGUUCUGUUUGUGUGCUCGCAUAUUGAGAUGAUGUGCCUAUAUGAGAGAAUGACCCGACAUUGCCAAUUACACAAAUUCAAAAAUAGAGAUAAACGAGGGAUGAUAUCAUCACUGGAAUAAAACAGCCUUCCUGCCAUCAUAUGGCUGUGGAACAGAAACGCAUGCAAAUACAGGGCUGGUGAAACGCUGGUGCUUCCAUUCGGUCCGGUCUGAGUUUUUCUUGAAAUUGAGGAAAUCUUUUUUGUCAUUCAAAUUGACGCGCGUCAAACUGGUUGGCAUGAUAGCAUGCUGUGCUGUUUUCAGGACUCCUGUGUGUUUAGGUUUUGAUCCUAGAGUGGCAAAGCUUCUUUCUCUAUCUUACUUCAUUCCGUCCUGCCUUGCCCUCGGUCCCGUCACCAAGUUGCUUAUUGUCGUCUUCUGUCAUUUCUAUCAAAAGGUUAAAGGAGGAUUAUUCUCAGUUUCUUUUAAGUUAAUGUGCUCCUUGACAUCACAGUGAGAUGAAGCACAUCAGAAAAAGUGGGUCUACAUAGGUGUUUGUUCGACAUCAAAGGUUAAAUAUCUAACAUGACUGUGAGUAUUGAGUCAUUUGUUUUAUUAAUUUUGUUGUUGUGCACAAUUUUCCACCCCCCAAAAAAGAAUGAAAUCUUGUUGAAUUGCUUAUUUGCGGUAAAAUAGAAACCUCACACGUCUGGGUGGUAAUUUCUCCUGACAGGAAGCACUUUUAAACGUUUGAGAGGCCGCGCUGCCAGGAUUCACCCUGUUGACUUUAUGCCCUUGUGCCCUAGUCCCUAGUGAAGUGAGUGACAUGAUUAUGUAUUAUGUUGGCUCAGUGGAGUGGAGGCACAAUAAUGCUCUGAACACAUUAUUUAACACUGACUAGCAACUGGGGGGCUUAUUUUUUGUUUCUCUAGCUGAAGAAAGCUGAGGUUUCCUUAAUAGUGUUAGCAUUCACACUCAACUACUUCCUACAUUUCCUCUCCACCUCUAUUUUUUAUAUAUAUAUUGCAAUAUUUCUCCUUACCAAAUGCUCCAAAACUAAGUUCAAUCAGGAGGGACUUCUUGAAUUUCACAAUAAUGUAUUAAUACAUUUGAAUAUUGCAAAGUCCUCUGAUAAGCCGGGUUUUGCUGCUGGUUGGAGGUCUCCUGGUGGAGGGCUGCAUCUGCUGCGCCCGGAGAUGACAACUGACAGCAACACAGAGGACAACAGUUUCAAAAGUUUGACAGUACGGAUGUGAUUGGUUUACAGAAACGGUGCCCACAUCUGGUUGGCUACUUCUAAACGAGCCCGCCCCCAAUCAGCUGACAGCGUAACCACAGGGAGAGAUGCUGCAGCUGAACUGCACACGCUUCUUCAGCUUGUCUUCCUCACUGAAUUUACGCCUAAGCUUCAUUUUAAACAUCUGCUGUUCCAUCAAACACAGCUCUGUAUUCCCCCAACUUCAAAUCAAACGCAGCCCAAUUGAGCAAAUAACCAACUCAAACUGGCACGGUGGUGAAAUGAUACAAUGAACAACAGCAGCAGUAAAAACCCUCUUGCUGAAUAUUGAAGUGAUGCUCAAUCAUAUAUUGCAACAAUCAAAUUGCAGGAUUGACAUUGUGAAAUAUGUAUACAAAAAUUCUCUUGAUAACACAGAAUGUAUUUUUCUUAGUAGUUCAAAUGACCAAAUUAGAAUAUAGAAACAUAGGGUUACCCCCCUCCUCAAUUCAUUCUUUAAAAUGAAUUUUCUUUGCCACAUAAUAUGAACACGGGUACUGCUGAUUGUGGUAUUAGUAUGCAAGUGUGUAUGCACAUACCAUGCUGUGGGCUUGGCUCCUGCCAGCGCAUGGGGUGAGGGGGGGUUACAUAUUAUGGAGGCCAUGUGUGUGCAUGUGUAACAGACAUGCACACACGUACACCAAUCCCUGCUGUUACUACUGAGGUUUCAUCAUUCACACACUCUGCUCACAAAAGGAAAGCAAUUAUGAAGGAUCAGCACAUCUUGUGAUGUGGAAAAUGCACCCUGGAACACUCAUGGCAGGAACGUGUGUACAGGGCUAUAUGUCCGCGAUGGGGGGGGGGGGUUGUGUGUGUAACUGCAUUGAGUCAUCUAAUUGGGAUUCUGCAGUAUGCAUCCGCAUUUGCCGUCAUACAUGCAUGUGUGUAUGGUGAGCCCAUCACAGCGCUGCUGUUGAAAAUGUUAAUUCUCCGCCUACGUACCCGCCCGCCCACCCUCACGAUGCCUCAUUACCUGUGCAAAGGGAAUCAGCCCACUGAUUCAUUCCAAAUAGGUUUUUAAAGAACAGCAUGCAAACGUUACUGCAGCUCACGGCCGGCAUGAACCAUACCCGGAAAUAUUCAGUCAAAGCAAUACAAAUAGAUCACAUGAUCAGGGUGAGAAAGGCUGUUGUAACGUCCGCGCACCCCCCCUAUGAUUAUCUGGCCCGAACCUGAAAUGAGUUUGGACCCCCGCGUGUGUGUUUCCAUGCAUUUGUGCGUGUGUGUAUGUAUCAAUGUAUUCAAAAGUGCUGCAGCUUGUUGCUCCGAUUUUCUUUUUUAACGCCCAAAAAUAAACAUGAAUUCCUGUCUAAGAGGCCUAAAAUACAAUGAGCAAAACCCUGUUGUGUGUUUGUGUGUGUCUGUGUGUGAGUGUGUCGUGGAGUGCCUCCCUAUCUCCGUGGGCCUGCGUGCAGUCACAGCUUUUGCUGCUUGCGCGUGCAACUUCCUGGAAAGCAGCUCUGACUAAUCUGGCCACCCAAACAGUAACAACAACAACAACACGCCUGAGAGAUGACCCCCAACCACACCGAGGAUAUUACACUUACACACUACACACGCACAGGCGCACAUGUGUCUGCUGCCUCACUGUCUCCGUCUCCUCCGUGGGCCAUCUGGCUCACACGUUAAUGAUAACAUGAUCACGGAGGAUUUGCUAUAGUUAUUGGAUUAGCAAAAGGUCACCGUGUCACUUUCGCAGUGUCGCAGCUUUCGAGUCCCUGCUGCUGCAUUUUGUUAUUAUCUGCCACAAUUCCAAGAAAUACACCCACAAACCCCCCCCCCCACACACACACACACACACAAACGAUGGAGGUUUCACCAAAACACAUCAGGUCGUAAACAACAGCUGCGCUUCUGUUGUAUUAUUUAAUAGUGACUCUUGUAUUUGUGUUGAGAACAGUGAAAUGGGGCUUUUUUUUACAUGCAUUUAUUCCUGUUUGAACAGUUAAAUGAAAGUCCGGGCUGGACCGGAUUACCUGGGAUUAACAUGGACUAUCAGUACCCAGUUUAUUUGGGCCAGAGGUGUCCUCCUCUGCUCCUGGUAUCAGUGAAAAGACUCACGGUCAGAAGCUGGAUUCACCCCCUGUUUUAGAUGCGACAUGGAUGUUACUCAGAAAUCAUGCCUUUUGUUUUUUUGCAGAUAAGUCAAGUAGUGACGGGAGCGUUACCUUGUUAUGGCUUUUUGUGUGUAUUUCUAAAAGGGUUAUUAUUAGUAAUAGUAUCAGUAACAUAUUUUGGGUUCAGAAACAUUGAUAUCUAAUCUAUACAACGCGAUUUGCACAAGCGUACAGCGCUUGAUGCAAUAGUGAUUUCAUUAUCUGAGCUUAGCUUGGUAAUUUUAUGCAAAUGUGGGAUCCACAGUUCUCUGAUCUUGGCUCGUAGGGACUUGAGGUGAGAAUAUGUCAACUUUUGCCUCUGUGAAUUUCACAGUUUUUGUUUCUGUGGAUCGCAUAAUAGCUAAAUACUAGAGUAGAGAAUAGCUAUAAUUGAUCUUUUUAAAGUGUGGCUCGGGGUUAAAUUCAUCAAAUGGGCCUAUUGGCAGACUGUUUUACCUUCAUAGCGCCGUGUAAGAGUUCCCUCUAAUGCAGACGGCACCAAGAGAAGUGCAGAACUCAUGCUCUUCCCCACUGAAGCUGAAACAGAAGGAAAAACAAUUUGGUUUUGCCGUCUGGGCUAUUUUUCAUGCGGAGGUUGUCAAACACACCAUGUGCUCUUGAAUGCCGUCCACAGCAAUUUUUUUCAUCCUGUGCAAGCCUGGAUGGGCAAAAUAAAAUGCAAGAGCAGCACAGAAACAAAGCUUUUCCAUGAUAAAAAGAAUUGCAUCCUGUUGCAAUUAGAUUUAGAAUUAGCAUCCGUAAUGUGGCACAUUUCCUUAGUUCCUCUGCAGCACAAUGUUUUGAAAUGUUCAACAUCGUUUUACAUCUUUGAGUAUGCUGUAGAUUGAAGCUGAAAGUGGCCUUAUUUCGAAUAUACCUGUUGGUUUAUCUUCUAAAACAUCCUGUGGGUUUGGAACCAGCGUUGCACUCAUUAGACUGUAACCCAAGAGGUGUGUAAACGCUUCACCCAAAUGUAGAAGUUGCACAGCUGUUUACAAGCAUUUCAACCUCAACAUACCUCUCAAGCAGAGUAACCGACCGCCUGUUGGUGCCAAGACUUUGUAGACAGAAUUUUUGUGGUUUCAAAGCCAAGUAGCAAAACAUCGUUUCCAUUGCCGCUGCUGUUUUUUUUUGAGUCGUUCUGAAAAACCACGUCUGGCUCUGCGUGUCUCAUCAUCCUGACCCAUAUCCAUCCCUCCCCUUUGUCCUCAUCGCCCUCCUUCUGGCCGUCUGCAAGAGUUAUCAUGUGUGGAGGGAAUGAGUUCAUUUUUCAGACCACGAGACAAUACCUCACCCUUCCCGCUCUGGCGCUCUAUCUGAAUCACGGAUCGGGAGGAGGUGGAAAACAUCUCGGCAGUCCAAAACAAACAGCUGUGUGUGUGCGUGUGUGAAUCACCAUUAAGGGCUGCGGUGCUGUGAUAUGUUUCCAGUAGCCUGCUGUCAGGUGGCCAAUGCAGAGAGGGACUCCUACAGCUCCACCGGUGUCUCUGUGGGCCGCCGCUCAGAUAAAUGCGUUACGCUGACAGACAGCCUCUACGAACGGCUCGCCAAUUGGUUUACAAUCUCAAAGGAUUGACUGUUUUCUAACCCCCCUCUAGCUAAAUGACUGCCGGGAAUGAAUGACUGACUCGUUAGGACAGCAAGCAGUGGGAGAUUAGGUAGCAGAAGAGUCAUCUCUGGUUUGUUCAAAGACAUGGACUUUAUAGACCGUAAGUAUUGGAUGUUGUCAUCGUAACAUCGCCCAUUGGUUGGAGGACUCGGCGGUAAAUGGCAGGUUUACGCCAUCUUAAAUAUUUUUGAAAUUUUUGACACAUUAGUCUUUGUUGAUAUGGACGGAUGUGAUAACUUCCUUGCCUGCUUGUUAAAAAGCUGAUUGGAUGUUUGUACUUUGAAUAAUUGAAUUAUUCAGUUGUUGGCAGACAUGUUAACUGAAAAGCUGAGUUAAUGAGUCCUUGGCAACAACACUGAGCAAGAAGUCUGACCAGCAGGAUGGGAUGAAGGUGGGGAGAACAAAUGGUGUGCAUAAGUGGGAGAGAGAAUACGGUUCUGAGAAUCCAAUUUGGUUCCAUUAGGGAUGAUUAGGUUUUGAUGACGGCUGUGAGCCGCAGAGCUGCUGAGAUUAUGGGUUGAGCUGCAGUCUUGAUACAACCUCAGAUAAACCGAAGUGGUUUUGUAUCUCCAUUGUCCUGAAUCCUUUUGGUUUGGGGGAAAUCCUGCAGUGUUUAUGCAGAACAUAUUAUAAGUGGUACUUUGGUAGAGUGGAAACACAGUGCAGCUUCAAUCUCACCUGAAAUCAAACCACAGAGAGCUGACGGAGAAUAUGUUGCAGACUACGGAAAGAAAAAGUAGCCUUUCAGAGCCUAUUUCUCUUUGACAGAAAUUAAAGUGUUUUCUUGUGCUGCCUGCUAUGUAGCUAAAAUACCACUUACUAUUGGCUGUGUUGCAUCGACCCAAUCGAAUACCUGCCCAACACCAUCCAGUACGGACGUCCAGACGCAGGAAAGGCUGCAAAAACAUCCCCUCUUAAUUGAAACACAACAUCAACAACCGGUUCCACACAGUGAAGCUAUUAAACUAGAAGAACAUGGCUACACCUCAGAAGGGUGACUGGUAUCUUUCAACCUGGUUCUUUUGGGAGUUUUUUUCUCCAAAUGACUUAAUUGCUACAACACUUUGUGUCAUUAACGGGGAAGGCAUGCAGGGCUGAAACGCAAAAAGACUUUAAAAGUCAAGAUCAACAUGCCAGGGACCAGGGACCAGGGACCAGGGACCAGGGACCAGGGACCAGGGACCAGGGACCAGGGACCAGGGACCAGGGACCAGGGACCAGGGACCAGGGACUCACAAGACAUUCGGUAUGACGCAAAGGCCAACAGACACACGUGGCUUAAAUACACUGUUGAGGUGCAGGUGAUUGGACACAGGUGAAAACAAUCAGACACGGCAGACAAUCGCAGGACACGGCAGGAAGUGAAGUUACCAGGGACACAAGAGGCCGAAAACUACAAAAUAAAACAGGAAACAAACCCAAACCGUGACGCUUUGAGCACCCGAUUUUUAAGGCAGCAGAGGCUAAACGCGCCUCUCAAAGUGUUUGAUAACACUAUGGAAAGAUCCCCACAAGAAAUGAAACCUUACUUAUAAUGUAUUUUGGAAGGCGUCCUCCUGAUAUGAGUGCCAGUAAAUAUGUGUAAUGUUGGGUGAGAAAAAGAUUGACCCGGUUAUAAUUUCUUGAGCUGGUAUGUCAUAGUGGCAUUUAACAGCUAAAAUGUGAAAAUAUCCUAAGCUUCUCAAACAGAAAGGCUUUGACAUGGAACUAAGCUCCGUGGAAAUCGUAUUUGCAGUUAAUGCCUUCAACCUAGCCAAGCGCUCGCCCUCGAUGGCCCUGAGCAGAGAGCUGAAUCUGUUUCGGGGAAGCGGUUGCCGUGGCUCCCGAUGCUGUUCCGCUGCCAAGCUGGCUCCUGGCCCACUACGUUCCUCUCCUCUUCCCGGAAGGAGCAGGGAAAACCUUGGGAACCAUGGCAACGCCAGCCGGCCAAAUCAGGAGUCAUUUAUAUGUGUCCAUUUCUAAAUUCAAUGUUAAUUUGAGGCAUUCCUUCAGAUGGUUUUAUUAUGAUUGUGCGUCUUUGUGUUUGUAUGCAUGCGUAUGUGUUUAAGAGCUUUGCAGCCAUACAGAAUAUUAAUCACAAGGCCCCAAAGCCCAGAGCUUGUUAGCUACUCAGGGACCAUUUAAGUAGCUGCUUUACAAUCUGCUGCAUUGCACCUUCUGUAGAGAAAGACAACCUCAUCUGAGAAAACUUCUCACCGCAGGCCUUAUUUACACUUUUUUCGUUUUUACAUUUGUGUAUAACAAUCCUAAUUUUCAGUUUAAACGGCUUCGUUUUUUUCUGCGUUGUAGUCUGUGCAGAAUUUGCAUCUGUCAAAUGUCGGGUGUUUAUGAAAGUUGAUCCUACGGGGAAGAAUCACAAUCUUUACAAAUAAAAGCGAAUGGAAGGCAAGCAGAUGGGUUAGAGGGGGAGGAAAAGGGAGAGGUGAGCGCAGGCCGCAGUUAGAUGGAUACAGAAGAGAGAUGGAGUCAUUUAGGGACAGCGAGACGUAGCAGAGGGAGGCGAGCAGAGGCAAGGCGAACAAGCAGACCAGUGUUUUCGAAAAACCUCCCCAGACAGCCUGAGAAAAACACACCGCGGAAACCCACUGCGAGGUUCAUCUCAGGUAGCGGCGGCUGAUGAUAAUAAUGAGGCGGCAGCGCAGUAGAAAGCGGCUCGGUUAGUGGUUGGUUGUCGUUUUCUCGGAAGAUUGUUAUCUCUAGAAUUGUCAAAUGACUCAUCUGUCGCCUUCUAUUCCGUUAUCUGUCAGUUGAGCUUCAUUUGUUUGAAUUGAUUGACAGCAUUUAACAAACAUCAACAAGAAUGACACAGUAAAUGAUAAUAAAUCACGGAGCAACACUUUGUGGCUGCUGUCUAAAUGGUUAAAGACGGCAGCAUCCUGUCUGUCCUGCUUCGUGUCCCGUAUGCACCAAUUCCCUGCACUUCUCGCUAUGUGAGUACCCUUAUUGAUGUGCAGCAUUCUCAAGCCCAUUUCCCGUAUGUUGAACCAUGAAUACUAAAUGCCUUUCUCAAACCAUAAUCCAAAUUUUGACCUGUCCCUUAAAAAACCUCAUCUCAAUCAGGCCCGUGGAAGUUGGUUGGUUACUAGAAACGGCGAAGGACGGCAGGUUGUCGCAGAGCGUUUUGUAUGCUUGCAGCUGUAGCAUUGCAGCAGAGAUGCAUGGUGACUAUGAGGUGAACCCCACCCUGCCUCGCUAUGCGCUUUCAGGGGCCUCGCGUGUUGUCCGAUCCAUCAGGGGAGCACAGCCAGAGAAAAAGUAAGAGCUGAAUAAUUUCACCUCCUUCAGUUUCACUGUGACCAAGAGAGAAAACAAGUGACAAGCCUUUGACGGGAACUCCAUUCGUCUUUCUCAGAAAGACAUUUUAUUUUUGCUUGGCUGCAGCUUUUAAUACCCAUUACCUCUGCGAGUUGCGUCCACGCGAGAAGCAGCCAAAUAAAGCAAAUGAAUAAUCUCUCUUUCUGUACGCUAUCAACAUUAACGGUUUCAAAGAGUUUUAGCCAGACUUGCGUCUGGCAUGAGGUCAGCGCCGCAGCUGUUUUCAUCACCUCGCUCAAUUCUGGGAAGGGAAUCAGAUGCCAAGGGGUCAGUGAGUGCGUGAGAGAGCGCGAAUAUCAGCUGUACAGUAAAAAAAAAGAAGGGGGUCACUGAGUUGGUGGAGCGGGAGAGGCGAGCUGCCCGAGUGUCUCUUUGUUUGAGUCGGAGUCCUGGAGUCGAUGGCGAGAGCGAGCAGAGCAGCAGACACGGCGCUCUGGAGAUGCUCCGUCUUCCUGGAAAGAAUGUGACCUGUAGCGACAUGCCUCCAACGGUCCGUCCUGCACCGCACGCCAGAGCUGGAACCCCGUGCUCACAUCAAAAAGGAGCAGGUUGCAGUUUUGACUCAGUAGCCUCCAGGGGGCCUUACGGGUGCAGUUUUCCAUAGAAAUAUUAAUGCAACGUGUGAAAACGUAAAGGCUCAUUCUGGCCUCUAGCUUCGGUGUUGUUCCUUUUAGAAUUUAAAUCCAUACUUUUCCUGCCGCUUCUAAAAAGAAAACCUUGUCCGGCGUGACCUGUUACAUAUACACAUAUUUUCUUAAAGAUAAUUGAUGAAAAAAGGCCGUUUAUUGUUCUUGUCACAGCCAAAACACUCCAGUUUAACCCCACUUAAAGAAAAUAACAAUACAACUUGAUCUGGCGUUUGCUUUGCAGCAAUGUUUCAAAGUUUUAGCCAGAUAUCCCGGCAGCCUCUGGACUCUUGUCGCCUUCAUCCGGCCAGCAGUGUGGUAGGAGGACGAGGUCAUUUGUAAUACGCAUUCAUGUUCUUUGUGUUUUGCGAGUUUUUGUUGUUUACAGAAACUCUUUUAGGGAGGAUUCUGGCUUUAUUGGUGGGAGAAGUCCUUUUAAGCCCACUGGUGCUGCCUGGGGAAUGUCUCUGAAGCCGGAGGAAUGCACUGACAUCACUGUUGAGCACUUUGCCAGGACUGAAUGGUUGGGAGUAGUUAGACGAUGGGAGUCCAACUCCGUCUCCUCAGUGUCCUCCCCAUGCAAGGUAAUGGUAUUCCCAGAUGUUCCGUUUUUGGCACUGCAGAGUGUUUAUAUGUGAGCACACAGAGAAGGUGGUUUCCCUGGAAAUUCUAAUGUUAGUGGGAAGAAGGUUUAAAUGAUGAGUUUGUCUUGAAAAAUUCAACACACAACUCAACAACCGCCAUUGGGUGGUGUGCUGUGAAACUUGUGCAGGCAUCCAUCUAUUUCAUCCACUUACUUUGCUGGUCUUUUCUGCAGCGCCACCUGCAAGUGGAAAUAUGAUUGUUUUUGGUCUCAUUCUCUCAUUUCAAAUAGCGCAAGACUACAAGUAGACUUCAAAAACUGCUAAAGUUAUUAUUAACAAAUGUUAGUGUGCUAACACGCUGAACUAAGAUACCAACCAUGGUAAACAAUCUAAUGAUGUCAUUCCUGGCAUGUUAGCAUGCUGAUAUUAGCAAUUAGCCUGAAAUACCAUUGUGCAUUAAAGCUACAUUCUGAUUUUUCAGCGUUCUAACAUGUUGUCUUUGUGUUUUGUUUGAUAUAUCUGAUGAAAAUGUAGAUACCUCACAUCGGCCUUACCGCUUUCCUUCUUUUUCUGCACUUCGUGAAUGAAAUUACCUGAUCGCGAGCUUGCUAGAUCUUUGGCCAACGUAAUUUAUGUGAGUGGCAUGAAUUAUAUGAUUACUUUUUAAUUGAUUUUCACGUCUACAUGAACACCACCGCAGCUCUCACAAAAUGAUUAUCCAGUCUUUUUAUUAAUACAUUGUACAUACAUUAGUUUAUUUAAUGAGAAAUGAACAUGUAGACGUCUUAAAGUCUUUUUUGUUUGUUUUUUAGAAAAAGGCCUCUGGCUUAAUAUUAAAUAGAUGUAAAAUGAUGUUUCCUCACUUAUGCAUUAUAGAUGAAGCCCUUCUUGCUUCAUCAAGAGCGCUUGUGAGCGGCUUUCAUGCUCUUUGGGGGAGAAAGAGCACGCUGGCUGCACCAGCCCCAGAACCAGUGCUGCGAUAUUGUAAACAAACGCAGGAGGAUGUGCAAUGCCCCCCCCCCCUCGCUCCCUUUGCGCACACACACGGUUUCCACACGUCUAUCUGUUUCUGUUUAAGUGUGAGAUAACGAUGGGCGGGUGCUUCCACAGAAGAGGUAGGAGGCGCCGACUGCCGAGAAGCAGCGUGAAAGCAAAGCGCCAAGAGAGCUAUGUGCGUGCGUGUGCGUGUGUGUGUGUGUGUGUGUGGUGUGUGUGCGUGCGUGUGUGUGCGUGCGUGUGCGUGUGUGUGUGUGUGUG
Molecule: long non-coding RNA, 17556 nt
Organism: Gasterosteus aculeatus aculeatus (three-spined stickleback)
Lineage: Eukaryota; Metazoa; Chordata; Actinopteri; Perciformes; Gasterosteidae
Source: Ensembl